Molecule: ribosomal RNA, 753 nt
Filed under: uncultured Russula
Lineage: Eukaryota; Fungi; Basidiomycota; Agaricomycetes; Russulales; Russulaceae
Description: partial 28S ribosomal RNA
Rfam family: Eukaryotic large subunit ribosomal RNA
Source: RNAcentral
GAAUCCCGUCUUUGACACGGACUGCCUGCAUGUUAUGGUGCGCUCUCAAAGAGUCGAGUUGUUUGGGAAUGCAGCUCAAAAUGGGUGGUAAAUGCCAUCUAAAGCUAAAUAUCGGCGAGAGACCGAUAGCGAACAAGUACCGUGAGGGAAAGAUGAAAAGAACUUUGGAAAGAGAGUGAAACAGUACGUGAAAUUGUUGAAAGGGAAACGCUUGAAGUCAGUCGCGUCGACCGAGACUCAGCCUUGCCCUUGGCUUGGUGUACUUCUCGGCUGACGGGUCAGCAUCAAUUUUGCCCCUUGGAUAAUGGCGAGGGAAAUGUGACACCUUUACGGUGUGUUAUAGUCUCUUGUCGCAUGCAAGGGUUGGGAUUGAGGAACUCAGCACGCACCUUUGGGUGUCGGGGCUUUGCCCACGAUACGUGCUUAGGAUGUUGGCGUAAUGGCUUUAAACGACCCGUCUUGAAACACGGACCAAGGAGUCUAACAUGCCUGCGAGUGUUCGGGUGGAAAACUCGUGCGCGCAAUGAAAGUGAAAGUUGGGACCUCUGUCGUGGAGGGCACCGACGCCCGGACCAGACCUUCUGUGACGGCUCUGCGGUAAAGCAUGUAUGUUAGGACCCGAAAGAUGGUGAACUAUGCCUGAAUAGGGUGAAGCCAGAGGAAACUCUGGUGGAGGCUCGUAGCGAUUCUGACGUGCAAAUCGAUCGUCAAAUUUGGGUAUAGGGGCGAAAGACUAAUCGAACCAUCUAGUAG